RNAcentral lists this ribosomal RNA (163 nucleotides) under Dothideomycetes sp. RNAcentral's name for it is "partial large subunit ribosomal RNA". It matches the Rfam family "Eukaryotic large subunit ribosomal RNA", at positions 99 to 261 of the family's 3401-position model. Lineage: Eukaryota; Fungi; Ascomycota; Dothideomycetes. The record is from RNAcentral.
CGGCAACAGCUCAAAUUUGAAAUCUGGCUCUUUCAGGGUCCGAGUUGUAAUUUGCAGAGGGAGCUUUCGAGUUGGCAGCGGUCUAAGUUCCUUGGAACAGGACGUCACAGAGGGUGAGAGCCCCGUACGGUUGGAUGCCUAGCCUCUGUGAAACUCCUUCGAC